AUGAACGCUGGCGGCGUGCCUAAUACAUGCCAGUCGAGCGAACGGACGAGAAGCUUGCUUCUCUGAUGUUAGCGGCGGACGGGUGAGUAACACGUGGAUAACCUACCUAUAAGACUGGGAUAACUUCGGGAAACCGGAGCUAAUACCGGAUAAUAUUUUGAACCGCAUGGUUCAAAAGUGAAAGACGGUCUUGCUGUCACUUAUAGAUGGAUCCGCGCUGCAUUAGCUAGUUGGUAAGGUAACGGCUUACCAAGGCAACGAUGCAUAGCCGACCUGAGUGGGUGAUCGGCCACACUGGAACUGAGACACGGUCCAGACUCCUACGGGAGGCAGCAGUAGGGAAUCUUCCGCAAUGGGCGAAAGCCUGACGGAGCAACGCCGCGUGAGUGAUGAAGGUCUUCGGAUCGUAAAACUCUGUUAUUAGGGAAGAACAUAUGUGUAAGUAACUGUGCACAUCUUGACGGUACCUAAUCAGAAAGCCACGGCUAACUACGUG
RNAcentral lists this ribosomal RNA (496 nucleotides) under uncultured bacterium. Its description in RNAcentral is "partial 16S ribosomal RNA". It matches the Rfam family "Bacterial small subunit ribosomal RNA", at positions 29 to 507 of the family's 1533-position model. The record is from RNAcentral.